AUUGAACGCUGGCGGCAUGCCUUACACAUGCAAGUCGAACGGCAGCACGGGAGCAAUCCUGGUGGCGAGUGGCGAACGGGUGAGUAAUAUAUCGGAACGUGCCCAGUCGUGGGGGAUAACGCAGCGAAAGCUGUGCUAAUACCGCAUACGAUCUACGGAUGAAAGCGGGGGACUCGCAAGAGCCUCGCGCGAUUGGAGCGGCCGAUAUCAGAUUAGCUAGUUGGUGGGGUAAAAGCCCACCAAGGCGACGAUCUGUAGCUGGUCUGAGAGGACGACCAGCCACACUGGAACUGAGACACGGUCCAGACUCCUACGGGAGGCAGCAGUGGGGAAUUUUGGACAAUGGGCGCAAGCCUGAUCCAGCAAUGCCGCGUGCAGGAUGAAGGCCUUCGGGUUGUAAACUGCUUUUGUACGGAACGAAAAGGUCUGCCCUAAUACGGCGGGCUCAUGACGGUACCGUAAGAAUAAGCACCGGCUAACUACGUGCC
This 488-nucleotide ribosomal RNA is filed under the name uncultured beta proteobacterium. Its description in RNAcentral is "bacterial SSU rRNA". It matches the Rfam family "Bacterial small subunit ribosomal RNA", at positions 30 to 509 of the family's 1533-position model. Lineage: Bacteria; Pseudomonadati; Pseudomonadota; Betaproteobacteria. The record is from RNAcentral.